RNAcentral lists this ribosomal RNA (253 nucleotides) under uncultured bacterium. Its description in RNAcentral is "partial 16S ribosomal RNA". It matches the Rfam family "Bacterial small subunit ribosomal RNA", at positions 524 to 776 of the family's 1533-position model. The record is from RNAcentral.
UACGUAGGGUGCGAGCGUUGUCCGGAAUCACUGGGCGUAAAGGGCGUGUAGGCGGGAAUGUAAGUCGGGCGUGAAAGCCCCAGGCUCAACCUGGGAACUGCACUCGAAACUGCGUUUCUUGAGUAUCGGAGAGGAAAGCGGAAUACCUGGUGUAGAGGUGAAAUUCGUAGAUAUCAGGUGGAACACCAGUGGCGAAGGCGGCUUUCUGGACGAUUACUGACGCUGAGACGCGAAAGCGUGGGGAGCAAACAGG